GCGCAUACGGUGGAUGCCUUGGCAGUCAGAGGCGAUGAAGGACGUAGGAGCCUGCGAUAAGCGUUGGUGAGCUGGCAAGCAAGCUUUGACCCAACGAUUUCCGAAUGGGGAAACCCAACCAACAUAAGUUGGUUAUCUUGCACUGAAUUCAUAGGUGUAAGAAGCGAACGGGGGGAACUGAAACAUCUAAGUACCCCUAGGAACAGAAAUCAACCGAGAUUCCCUUAGUAGCGGCGAGCGAACGGGGACCAGCCGAUGUGAAUAGUAGUAGUGGAACAUUCUGGGAAGGAUGGCCAUAGUGGGUGACAGCCCCGUAUCGGUAAAGGCACACAGGUCCUUGAGUAGGGCGGGACACGUGAAAUCCUGUCUGAACGUGGGGGGACCACCCUCCAAGCCUAAGUACUCCUUGGUGACCGAUAGUGAACAAGUACCGUGAGGGAAAGGUGAAAAGUACCCCGAUGAGGGGAGUGAAAUAGCGCCUGAAACCGAAUGCUUACAAUCUGUGGGAGCUCCCUUGAGGAGUGACCGCGUACCUUUUGUAUAAUGGGUCAGCGAGUUAAUUUUACGAGCAAGCUUAAGCCGUUAGGUGUAGGCGCAGCGAAAGCGAGUCUGAAUAGGGCGUCAUAGU
This 628-nucleotide ribosomal RNA is filed under the name Isochrysis galbana. RNAcentral describes it as "partial Bacterial large subunit ribosomal RNA". It matches the Rfam family "Bacterial large subunit ribosomal RNA", at positions 15 to 700 of the family's 2925-position model. Lineage: Eukaryota; Haptophyta; Isochrysidales; Isochrysidaceae. The record is from RNAcentral.